AGCCUGAACGCUGGCGGCGUGGCUAAGACAUGCAAGUCGAACGGGCAUAGCAAUAUGUCAGUGGCGAACGGGUGAGUAAUGUAUCGCUAACGUACCCUUGUGUUGGGGAUAGCCGGGGGAAACUCCGGGUAAUACCCAAUGACAUCCUCUUGAGGCAUCUCGAGGGGCUCAAAGGAGCAAUCCGCAAAAAGGGAGCGGGGCGAGUAUCGGUAUCCAGCUAGUUGGUGAGGUAACGGCUCACCAAGGCGACGACGCGUAGCCGGGCUGAGAGGUUGGCCGGCCACAUUGGGACUGAGACACUGCCCAGACUCCUACGGGGGGCUGGCAGUAACGAAUCUUCCGCAAUGCACGAAAGUGUGACGGAGCGACGCCGCGUGUGGGACGAAGUCCUUCGGGAUGUAAACCGACUGUCAGGGGUAAGAAAGUUCUGAUCUACCCCAGAGGAAGGCACGGCUAACUCUGUGCCAGCAGCCGC
RNAcentral lists this ribosomal RNA (475 nucleotides) under uncultured bacterium. Its description in RNAcentral is "SSU rRNA". It matches the Rfam family "Bacterial small subunit ribosomal RNA", at positions 26 to 518 of the family's 1533-position model. The record is from RNAcentral.